Molecule: unclassified non-coding RNA, 261 nt
Filed under: Hevea brasiliensis (rubber tree)
Lineage: Eukaryota; Viridiplantae; Streptophyta; Magnoliopsida; Malpighiales; Euphorbiaceae
Source: RNAcentral
AUUGAUAAAUAUCAGGUGCCAUCACUUCGCAUCAGAACAAGGAAAAUUAACUUGUACAGUCAUGGACAUCAUGCUUAACCAACAGAAAGCGAUACAUGGACCACAAAAGACGAGAGUAAAAGGCCAAAUGUGUAGUGGUGGCGUCCAUCCAGCAAAGAGAACUGGUGAUUAAAGCUCCAACGCAUCUUCUCCGGUUCGGCUACAAGGAAUUUACAGAGCUUAGAAGCAAGGCUUUUAUUCUCCACUUGAACCAACCGAAAA